CCUACGUGAGGCAGCAGUAGGGAAUAUUGCGCAAUGGGCGAAAGCCUGACGCAGCGACGCCGCGUGAGGGAUGAAGGUCUUCGGAUCGUAAACUCCUGUCAUCAGGGAAGAUCGGUCACUGUGCUAAUCAACAGUCAAUUGACGGUUCCUGCCAAGCAACCACCGGCUAACUGCGUGCCAGCAGCCGCGGUAAUACGGAGGGUGCGAGCGUUAAUCGGAAUUACUGGGCGUAAAGCGCUCGUAGGCGGUAUGUCAAGUCAAGGGUGAAAUCCCCGCGCUCAACGUGGGAACUGCAUUUGAAACUGUCAAACUGGAGUGUGUGAGAGGAUAGUGGAAUUCUAGGUGUAGGAGUGAAAUCCGUAGAGAUCUGGAGGAAUAUUAGUGGCGAAGGCGACUAUCUGGAACAUAACUGACGCUGAGGAGCGAAAGCGUGGGUAGCAAACAGGAUUAGAUACCCUUGUAGUC
RNAcentral lists this ribosomal RNA (465 nucleotides) under uncultured bacterium. RNAcentral describes it as "partial 16S ribosomal RNA". It matches the Rfam family "Bacterial small subunit ribosomal RNA", at positions 338 to 795 of the family's 1533-position model. The record is from RNAcentral.